Molecule: ribosomal RNA, 499 nt
Filed under: Veillonella parvula
Lineage: Bacteria; Bacillati; Bacillota; Negativicutes; Veillonellales; Veillonellaceae
Description: bacterial SSU rRNA
Rfam family: Bacterial small subunit ribosomal RNA
Source: RNAcentral
GACGAACGCUGGCGGCGUGCUUAACACAUGCAAGUCGAACGAAGAGCGAUGGAAGCUUGCUUCUAUCAAUCUUAGUGGCGAACGGGUGAGUAACGCGUAAUCAACCUGCCCUUCAGAGGGGGACAACAGUUGGAAACGACUGCUAAUACCGCAUACGAUCUAAUCUCGGCAUCGAGGAUAGAUGAAAGGUGGCCUCUACAUGUAAGCUAUCACUGAAGGAGGGGAUUGCGUCUGAUUAGCUAGUUGGAGGGGUAACGGCCCACCAAGGCGAUGAUCAGUAGCCGGUCUGAGAGGAUGAACGGCCACAUUGGGACUGAGACACGGCCCAGACUCCUACGGGAGGCAGCAGUGGGGAAUCUUCCGCAAUGGACGAAAGUCUGACGGAGCAACGCCGCGUGAGUGAUGACGGCCUUCGGGUUGUAAAGCUCUGUUAAUCGGGACGAAAGGCCUUCUUGCGAAUAGUGAGAAAGGAAUUGACGGACCGGAAUAAAAAAGCCCC